GCCUUGAAAGCUCAACAAAUAGAGCGUUUGGUCUUGUAAACCAGGAGAGAGGGUUAAACUCCCUCUCAAGGCU
Molecule: transfer RNA, 73 nt
Filed under: Strongylocentrotus pallidus (pale sea urchin)
Lineage: Eukaryota; Metazoa; Echinodermata; Echinoidea; Camarodonta; Strongylocentrotidae
Also listed under: 1 other name
Description: transfer RNA-Thr
Rfam family: tRNA
About the family: Transfer RNA (tRNA) molecules are approximately 80 nucleotides in length.
Source: RNAcentral